UAAUCAUUAGUCAUUUAAUUGAUGACUUGUAUGAAGGAUUGGAUGAAAUAUAAACUGUCUCUUAAUUAUCUAUAUAAUUUAAUUUUUUAAUUAAAAAGUUAAAAUAAAUUAAAAAGACGAGAAGACCCUAUAGAGUUUUAUAAAUAAAUUAAUUAAGGUUAUUUAUUAAGUUAAAAUUAAAAUUAUAUUUUUUUAUUUUAUUGGGGUGAUAGAAAAAUAAGUUUAACUUUUUUUAUAUGUUUACAUUUAUAGGUGAAUAGAUGAUCCAGUAUUAUUGAUUAAAAGAAAAAAUUACCUUAGGGAUAACAGCGUAAUUUUUUUUUUUAGUUCAUAUAAGAAAAAAAGUUUGCGACCUCGAUGUUGGAUUAAGAUAAAAUUUAAAUGUAGAAG
RNAcentral lists this ribosomal RNA (390 nucleotides) under Sesamia mesosticha. RNAcentral's name for it is "partial 16S large subunit ribosomal RNA". Lineage: Eukaryota; Metazoa; Arthropoda; Insecta; Lepidoptera; Noctuidae. The record is from RNAcentral.